GACGAACGCUGGCGGCGUGCUUAACACAUGCAAGUCGAACGGAAAGGCCCAGCUUGCUGGGUACUCGAGUGGCGAACGGGUGAGUAACACGUGGGUGAUCUGCCCUGCACUCUGGGAUAAGCCUGGGAAACUGGGUCUAAUACCGGAUAUGACCAACUGUCCCUUGGUGGUUGGUGGAGAGCUUUUGCGUUGUGGGAUGGGCCCGGGGCCUAUCAGCUUGUGGGCGGGGUAAUGGCCUACCAAGGCGACGACGGGUAGCCGACCUGAGAGGGUGAUAGGCCACGCUGGGACUGAGAUACGGCCCGGCCUCGUCCGGGAGGCAGCAGUGGGGAAGAUUGCACAAUGGGCGGAAGCCUGAUGCAGCGACGCCGCGUGAGGGAUGACGGCCUUCGGGUUGUAAACCUCUUUCACCAGGGACGAAGCGUGAGUGACGGUACCUGGAGAAGAAGCACCGGCCAACUACGUG
RNAcentral lists this ribosomal RNA (466 nucleotides) under uncultured bacterium. RNAcentral describes it as "partial 16S ribosomal RNA". It matches the Rfam family "Bacterial small subunit ribosomal RNA", at positions 28 to 507 of the family's 1533-position model. The record is from RNAcentral.